ACAUACGACCAUAGGGUGUGGAGAACAGGGCUUCCCGUCCGCUCAGCCGUACUUAAGCCACACGCCGGCCGGUUAGUAGUUGGGUGGGUGACCACCAGCGAAUCCCGGCUGUUGUAUGNN
Molecule: ribosomal RNA, 120 nt
Filed under: Aspergillus glaucus CBS 516.65
Lineage: Eukaryota; Fungi; Ascomycota; Eurotiomycetes; Eurotiales; Aspergillaceae
Source: RNAcentral